ACACCCUCAACUCUCAUGGUCUGCCAUGAUGAGCUUGGACUUUGGGGGUCUUGCCGGCCCGGCGUCGGCUCCCCUAAAAUGGAUCAGCUUGCCAGUGUUUGGUGGCAUCACAGGUGUGAUAACUAUCUACGCUUGUGGUUCCCUGCCAUGUAACCUUCAGUGAUGGAGGUUCGCUGGAGCUUACAGAUGUCUCUCCUUGUGAGGACAACUUUGAAC
Molecule: unclassified non-coding RNA, 216 nt
Filed under: uncultured Tomentella
Lineage: Eukaryota; Fungi; Basidiomycota; Agaricomycetes; Thelephorales; Thelephoraceae
Description: sequence contains ITS2
Source: RNAcentral